AUUGAACGCUGGCGGCAGGCCUAACACAUGCAAGUCGAGCGGAUGAAGGGAGCUUGCUCCUGGAUUCAGCGGCGGACGGGUGAGUAAUGCCUAGGAAUCUGCCUGGUAGUGGGGGAUAACGUCCGGAAACGGGCGCUAAUACCGCAUACGUCCUGAGGGAGAAAGUGGGGGAUCUUCGGACCUCACGCUAUCAGAUGAGCCUAGGUCGGAUUAGCUAGUUGGUGGGGUAAAGGCCUACCAAGGCGACGAUCCGUAACUGGUCUGAGAGGAUGAUCAGUCACACUGGAACUGAGACACGGUCCAGACUCCUACGGGAGGCAGCAGUGGGGAAUAUUGGACGAGGGGCGAAAGCCUGACACAGCCAUGCCGCGUGUGUGAAGAAGGUCUUCGGAUGGUAAAGCACUUUAAGUUGGGAGGAAGGGCAGUAAGUUAAUACCUUGCUGUUUUGACGUUACCAACAGAAUAAGCACCGGCUAACUUCGUG
This 484-nucleotide ribosomal RNA is filed under the name uncultured bacterium. RNAcentral describes it as "partial 16S ribosomal RNA". It matches the Rfam family "Bacterial small subunit ribosomal RNA", at positions 30 to 507 of the family's 1533-position model. The record is from RNAcentral.